Long non-coding RNA from Esox lucius (northern pike), 826 nucleotides. RefSeq lists it as uncharacterized. NCBI's taxonomy places the organism in Eukaryota, Metazoa, Chordata, Actinopteri, Esociformes, Esocidae. The record is from RefSeq and is a predicted model, not a curated record. The transcript has 3 exons.
CUUGUUUGGAAAACACAUUUUUGGACCUUCUAACCUUGACCAAGUAAUCAUCAGCGGUGUUGAUUGGACUGCACAGUUGCAAUCUUACACAUCCUGAACAGAUACUUUUUGUAGUGAGGACCCAGUGAUGAUGCAGACUACAUCACCAUAAUGGCUUCAGUUAUGGACCCACCAUCUUGUGGUUGCACAGCUUCAGCACAUUUUGUUUCAUUAUUUUCCCACAUUACACAAUGCUUGAAAGCUGAAAGUAAUGCAUAUUUUACCUUCAACUCAUCAAAACUGUGAUGUAUGUGAAUGUAUGUUUGAGAUAGAAUAUUAUUUUAACUUGUAAGUAGAUUGUUAUUUACACGUGAAGCUGGAAAAAUGGCAAGAGAUAAAACUACAGACCAGACUCAGAACAAGCAUCAACAUCUAUACAUAAUCAACAGACCACACCCCAAAAUACAAAUGAAAUGGCCAAAACCUUGUUACACAGCGAUACAGACAUGAAUCCACAGAUGCAAGGUUUGUUAUUUGAGAUUAGUAGCCCCCAUUUUUACAUGACCUACUUGACUCCGCAACGAAAUCUCUGACGCAAACUCAUUGCGACGACCCAGGUGAUUUCAAAAGGUUCAGAUCUUUAGUACAAAGUGGGGGUAAUGAUAAUAAUAAUAAUAAAUUGAAUUUAUAUAGCGCUUUUCUUAGACUCAAAGUCGCUUUACAGGGGAGGUAGAUUAUAAAAACAGAACAAAACAAAACAAAUAAAAGCAAAACAAGAUUCAGGCACAAAUGAGAAGGGAGGGGGCGUGGGGCUACGGAUAGGCAGAGGUGAAGAGAUGGGUCUUGA